RNAcentral lists this non-coding RNA (31 nucleotides) under Mus musculus (house mouse). The record is from RNAcentral. Lineage: Eukaryota; Metazoa; Chordata; Mammalia; Rodentia; Muridae.
UCUCUCUGAUGACCUUAGACCAUAUCAAGUU